Molecule: ribosomal RNA, 255 nt
Filed under: uncultured bacterium
Lineage: Bacteria
Description: partial 16S ribosomal RNA
Rfam family: Bacterial small subunit ribosomal RNA
Source: RNAcentral
UACGGAGGGGCGAGAGCGUAUUCGGAAUUAUUGGGUGCGUAAAGGGCGCGUAGGCGGCUUUGUAAGUUAGAGGUGAAAGCCCGGGGCUCAACUCCGGAAUUGCCUUUAAGACUGCAUCGCUAGAAUUGUGGAGAGGUAAGUGGAAUUCCGAGUGUAGAGGUGAAAUUCGUAGAUAUUCGGAAGAACACCAGUGGCGAAGGCGGAGACCUGGGCCGAUACUGACGCUGAGGUGCGAAAGCGUGGGGAGCAAACAGG